GAUGAACGCUGGCGGCGUGCCUAAUACAUGCAAGUCGAGCGAACAGACGAGGAGCUUGCUCCUCUGACGUUAGCGGCGGACGGGUGAGUAACACGUGGAUAACCUACCUAUAAGACUGGGAUAACUUCGGGAAACCGGAGCUAAUACCGGAUAAUAUAUUGAACCGCAUGGUUCAAUAGUGAAAGACGGUUUUGCUGUCACUUAUAGAUGGAUCCGCGCCGCAUUAGCUAGUUGGUAAGGUAACGGCUUACCAAGGCAACGAUGCGUAGCCGACCUGAGAGGGUGAUCGGCCACACUGGAACUGAGACACGAUCCAGACUCCUACGGGAGGCAGCAGUAGGGAAUCUUCCGCAAAGGGCGAAAGCCUGACGGAGCAACGCCGCGUGAGUGAUGAAGGUCUUCGGAUCGUAAAACUCUGUUAUUAGGGAAGAACAAAUGUGUAAGUAACUAUGCACGUCUUGACGGUACCUAAUCAGAAAGCCACGGCUAACUACGUG
Molecule: ribosomal RNA, 497 nt
Filed under: uncultured bacterium
Lineage: Bacteria
Description: partial 16S ribosomal RNA
Rfam family: Bacterial small subunit ribosomal RNA
Source: RNAcentral